ACGGACGCUGGCGGCGUGCUUAACACAUGCAAGUCGAACGGUGAAGCGCCUUCCUUUUUGGUGGGUGUGGAUGAGUGGCGAACGGGUGAGUAACACGUGAGUAACCUGCCCCCUUCUUCUGGAUAACCGCAUGAAAGUGUGGCUAAUACGGGAUAUUCUGGGUCUGUCGCAUGAUGGGUCUGGGAAAGAUAUUGUUUCGGUGGGGGAUGGGCUCGCGGCCUAUCAGCUUGUUGGUGGGGUGAUGGCCUACCAAGGCGGUGACGGGUAGCCGGCCUGAGAGGGUGGACGGUCACACUGGGACUGAGACACGGCCCAGACUCCUACGGGAGGCAGCAGUGGGGAAUAUUGCACAAUGGGCGCAAGCCUGAUGCAGCGACGCCGCGUGAGGGAUGGAGGCCUUCGGGUUGUGAACCUCUUUCGCCAGUGAAGCAGGCCUGCCUCGUUUGUGGGUGGGUUGACGGUAGCUGGAGAAGAAGCGCCGGCUAACUACGUG
RNAcentral lists this ribosomal RNA (493 nucleotides) under uncultured bacterium. RNAcentral describes it as "partial 16S ribosomal RNA". It matches the Rfam family "Bacterial small subunit ribosomal RNA", at positions 29 to 507 of the family's 1533-position model. The record is from RNAcentral.